AUUGGUUGUUGAAAAAAAUAGUAACAGUAUGAUAAAGUUCAAGUACCAUCCAAAUACCAUGUCAAAAACUAUUACAAAUUGUGGUAGAAAUAUCGUACAAGCGUGGUAGUUCCUACCAUGCGGUGACAAUGCUGCCAACUUGUUACCACCACACAACCACCUGUGCGAACCGUUGCAGAGCGAGCGCGCGCGAGCCGCGGCGCCCGCGGCGGGCUACGGGGCUGCGUCGGUUGUUGUGUGUUGCAGUGGGAGAGGGAAGAGUCGUCAUUUGCGGACUGCCCAACUACUAUCCAGUGGUCGUCGAUGAUCUGGUUACUAUCGGAGAGAAAACUCAACAUGCCCCGACAUGGCGACGUCGACAGGGAUCAGCGCGCCGCCCUCGUGAAGGAGACGCUGCCGGCGAGGCGUUCCGAAAUUCUGGGAGGACCCGGAAAGAAUCCCCAGAAUAUCACAAGCCUCAAGAAAAGGUUCCCGUUCAUGUUUGGUGCAGAGGAGCUCUGGAAGGAGAUGGAGCUGCUGCUGUCAGGACAAGUUGGCCUGAGGGAGAAGUUCAGCGAAGGUCUGAAAACGUGACUAGCGGGCAUCAUGGCCCAAACGGAAUGCAGACGCGGUAUGUGUACAUUUGCUAACUAAACCCCCGCCAGUGUAGGGGGUUGCACCCCCCCCCCGGUUUUGCGCUAAUAACUCGCGAACGAAUGACUUGUCAUUCUAAAAAAGUUUUUUUUUUUCGCGAAUGACCUUCCGUAGCAUGUCGACGCCUGUAACUUGCAAAGUUCCAUCUUUGUUUUGCUGGUGAUAUGCAUAUGGAUAGGUGUUACCAACUGACAUCCAGACAUGUUCGUGGCUUCAACGACGGCUUCCACAUAUCCUUAACAAUGACGGCACGUUUUGAAUAAAACGACCUUUCUACUUUGGCUCGCUGCUAAACCUCUUACCCUAAGUUGGAAGAGAGGGUGGAGAGAGACUCUCUCUCUCUCCCUCUCCCUCUCCCUCUCUCCUUCUCCCUCUCCCUCUCCCUCUCCCUCAUUCCCUCUCUCCCUCUCUCCCUCUCUCUCUCCCUCUCUCUCUUUCUGUCCCCUAUCUCCCUCCCCCAUCUCCCUCUCUCUCCCCUCCCUGCGCGCUCCCCUCCCUCCCCUCCCCUCCCUCCCUCUCUCCCCUCCCUGAGCCAUGCGCGCGCACGCAGGCGAUUUAAGCGUCAGGGGUUCAGAAGUGCCUCGUUCCUCGAUUGUAGUUCGUAUGUU
Molecule: unclassified non-coding RNA, 1241 nt
Filed under: Amphibalanus amphitrite
Lineage: Eukaryota; Metazoa; Arthropoda; Thecostraca; Balanomorpha; Balanidae
Description: uncharacterized LOC122385676, transcript variant X1
Source: RNAcentral